CCUUUAUGCCAGGCGCAGUCUCAGCUGCAGACACACCCUGAAGGCCGCCCCUGGCUGACUGGGAGCUGGCUCCUUCCCCGUGCAGUCCCACAGCAGGGAGGACUGGAGCACAAACUCAGGUCUCCCUCGGCCCUCUUCUCCCUCCCACUGUGGGCCAAACGCGGUGCAGAAGGCCUGAGGAGCCCAAGCACUGAUAUCCAGGUGCCAUCUGCUGAGCUAACAGAAACCAGCUGGUUGCUGGGUUCUACAAAGGGAAGCUUACAGCAAACUGAAAGCAUACUCAUUCUGGUGGUGCCCAAGGCACAGACUCCAUCACCACUGCAAAGAACAAGACCUGAGGAUGUUACAGCCAACACACUGAGGUUUGGUCUUCAGCUCCUUAUUUUCCUGUUCUGCACCUUAGAGUAGAGAGUCUGUCUCUGAGGUUUCACUUGGACGUUUUCAGCAUUAGACAACUC
This 458-nucleotide long non-coding RNA is filed under the name Gallus gallus (chicken). RNAcentral describes it as "lncRNA (ENSGALG00010002941.1)". The record is from RNAcentral. Lineage: Eukaryota; Metazoa; Chordata; Aves; Galliformes; Phasianidae.